GUCAAGUCUGGGCCGGCAGCCGCGGUAAUACAGGGGGGGGAAGCGUGAAUCGGAUUUACGUGGCGUAAAGCGGGAGUAGGUGGCUCGCUAAGUCGAUUGUGAAAGCCCUGGGCUCAACCUGGGAAUUGCAGUCGAUACUGGAGAGCUCGAGUUCGGUAGAGGGUGACGGAAUUCCCGGUGUAGCGGUGAAAUGCGUAGAUAUCGGGAGGAACAUCGAUGGCGAAGGCAAUCACCUGGGCCUGAACUGACACUGAGACACGAAAGCGUGGGUAGCAAACAGGAUUAGAUACCCUUGUAGUC
Molecule: ribosomal RNA, 300 nt
Filed under: uncultured Allobosea sp.
Lineage: Bacteria; Pseudomonadati; Pseudomonadota; Alphaproteobacteria; Hyphomicrobiales; Alloboseaceae
Description: bacterial SSU rRNA
Rfam family: Bacterial small subunit ribosomal RNA
Source: RNAcentral